GAUGAACGCUGGCGGCGUGCCUAAUACAUGCAAGUCGAGCGAACAGAUGAGGACCUUGCUCCUCUGACGUUAGCGGCGGACGGGUGAGUUACACGUGGAUAACCUACCUAUAAGACUGGGAUACCUUCGGGACCCCGGUGCUAAUACCGGCUAAUAUCUUGAACCGCCUGGUUCCCUUGUGAACGCCGGUUUUGCUGUCACUUAUAGAUGGAUCCGCGCCGCAUUAGCUAGUUGGUAAGGUAACGGCUUACCAAGGCAACGAUGCGUAGCCGGCCUGAGAGGGUGAUCGGCCACACUGGAACUGAGACACGGUCCAGACUCCUACGGGAGGCAGCAGUAGGGAAUCUUCCGCAAAGGGCGAAAGCCUGACGGAGCAACGCCGCGUGAGUGAUGAAGGUCUUCGGAUCGUAAAGCUCUGUUAUUAGGGAAGAACAAAUGUGUAAGUAACUAGGCACGGCUUGACGGUACCUAAUCAGAAAGCCACGGCUAACUACGUG
RNAcentral lists this ribosomal RNA (497 nucleotides) under uncultured bacterium. RNAcentral describes it as "partial 16S ribosomal RNA". It matches the Rfam family "Bacterial small subunit ribosomal RNA", at positions 28 to 507 of the family's 1533-position model. The record is from RNAcentral.